This is a non-coding RNA of Brachypodium distachyon (stiff brome), 108 nucleotides long. The record is from Rfam. Lineage: Eukaryota; Viridiplantae; Streptophyta; Magnoliopsida; Poales; Poaceae.
AGACCAUGAUGAGGGCACAUUCUUAUCAGAUUCUGGUAUCUAUUCCAUGCAUCAUAAAGACUCUCACCAGUGAACUGUGCAAACCUUGUUAUCUGAUCUCUAUACUCU